UAACAUGAGAGUUUGAUCCUGGCUCAGGAUGAACGCUGGCGGCGUGCUUAACACAUGCAAGUCGAACGAAGCACUUUAUUUGAUUUCCUUCGGGACUGAUUAUUUUGUGACUGAGUGGCGGACG
RNAcentral lists this ribosomal RNA (124 nucleotides) under Agathobacter rectalis. RNAcentral's name for it is "partial 16S ribosomal RNA". It matches the Rfam family "Bacterial small subunit ribosomal RNA", at positions 1 to 104 of the family's 1533-position model. Lineage: Bacteria; Bacillati; Bacillota; Clostridia; Lachnospirales; Lachnospiraceae. The record is from RNAcentral.